Long non-coding RNA from Gallus gallus (chicken), 1650 nucleotides. The record is from Ensembl. Lineage: Eukaryota; Metazoa; Chordata; Aves; Galliformes; Phasianidae.
AGUGCAGCCCAGGAAUCCAAGCGGGGAAGUUCGGGGAGAGCGCUGCUGGGGAGAGGUGUGCGGAACGGCAUGGAGAUCAGCGGGACUUCCUGCCGAGGACCGGCCCAGCCUUCUGCAGGCGGAGUGGCAGCUGCUGCGGUUGGGAUUGAAAAGCCUGAUGGGGCAGCGUGCUGAAAUAUAAUUAUUAUGACGCGGAAAAAAAUUAAUCGGCUUGCAAAGAGGAGAGAUCACUGUGUUCACAGUUCACUCCUGAAGGAGAGGACAUCUGCAAAAUGCUCAACGGCAUUGGCUUGGUGACUAGGAGAGAGCAAGGCACUGAAAAAGGGAAAGAGUGGAAGGAGAAGGAAAUGCAAUCAGUUCAUUUUAACCUCAGUAUCUCAGUAUUAGUUAAAAUUCCCAAGCUAACUUUUUCAAUUAAAUUCAGUAAGAAACUGCAAGCAAGAACCACGAAACUCCAGGCAAGGACCAAGAAGCCUGGCAGCAUGCACCAUGUUGCAGCAGGCCUCUGAUGCUGCACCCCUGUGCCCUCUUCAGCGUGUACAUACAGGUGUACAUAUACAUGUGUACCCGCCACAGACAGCUGAAUAGUAAUCCUCCCCUCAUUUAUUUCUUGCAAAAUCAUUUCUCAGCAAAUCUGGAUGGUGCAGACGAGUCUGAUGAGAAGAAUGACCUGGUUCUGAGUGGGGAGGUCAGAGGACACAUCCUGCACGUCCCCGAAAUGGCAAAUGAAGCAGAUGUUUGCUGUUAUUGACUACUACUGGGGUGCCAGCAUUUCUUCCUCACUAACCUCAUGCUGCAAGCAGCAAUCAUGCAUCACCUUCUUUUCUUCUAAUGGUUGCUCAGGCAUGUAAUAAGUUGAAUUUCAUCUUGCUGAUGAAUCUUAUUUUCGUUGUUUGGCAUGACAAGCAAUUCUGUUUUAAAAAGUGAAUGGAGACAUCUGGCUUUGGCAGGGUGACUAAAAUGAGCUGUGUUUGGCCAGCGUUUCUCUUGAUUCACCUUAAUUUGCUGACACUAGAUCCAACUGUGACAGCAGACAUAACAGGAAAACAAGCUGCAGAAGCCACCCUUUUUACACCUGCCCUAUUUUCCCUCAGACAACUUUAUCCUUCUUGGUGUAAAACCAUGAGGUAUUCCUUCUGCCACCUGAGCAGUGCCAGUGCUGCAUCACCCCUGAGCACAGGCACUGAACCUGUGAGUACACGGGAGAUAUUCCUGUUACUUCUGCAGGCUCCACUGAUGGCAGCAGUACUGUCUGCCAAGCAAGCACCACGUUCAGCUCUUCCUUGACCACUUGUCUCAACCUUGCACUUACAGAGAGAGGCACAACACUGCUCUGACUCAACAGCAUCUUGCACAGUGUGCAGGACUGGGGUAAGUCACUGCACAAGCUUCAGGACAAAGAAUAAGACUCAUAAUCUGGGGUCACUGGUGAGAGACUGCUGCUGCUUCAUCCCCCUUGUAAUAGCUUUCUCCCUUCACAAUGAGUUAUUGCACUCCUAUUUUUGGCUGUGCUUCAUUUGGGAGGUUGGCACAACAAUACUGUUUGGCAGACACAGUCCUGCCCUGGCAAUCUACUGUUUUGGGGAUUGUUUGCUUUUAACUAAUUCAUUAUAUUGCUGUACUGCAACGUAUAUCACUUGUUUUCCCCUC